AACGAACGCUGGCGGCAUGCCUAACACAUGCAAGUCGAACGAGAUCUUCGGGUCUAGUGGCGCACGGGUGCGGAACGCGUGGGAAUCUGCCCUUCGGCUCGGAAUAACAGUUGGAAACGACUGCUAAUACCGGAUGAUGACGAAAGUCAAAAGAUUUAUCGCCAGAGGAUGAGCCCGCGUAGGGUUAGCUAGUUGGUGUGGUACAGGCGCACCCAGGCGACGUUCCUUAGCUGGUCUGGUAGGAUGAUCGGCCACACUGGGACGGAGACGCGGCCCAGACUCCUACGGGGGGCAGCAGUCGGGAAUAUUGGACAAUGGGCGAAAGCCUGAUCCAGCAAUGCCGCGUGAGUGAUGAAGGCGUUAGGGUUGUAAAGCUCUUUUACCCGGGAUGAUAAUGACAGUACCGGGAGAAUAAGCUCCGGCUAACUCCGUGCCAGCCGCCGCGGUAA
This 449-nucleotide ribosomal RNA is filed under the name uncultured bacterium. RNAcentral describes it as "partial 16S ribosomal RNA". It matches the Rfam family "Bacterial small subunit ribosomal RNA", at positions 29 to 523 of the family's 1533-position model. The record is from RNAcentral.